AUGAACGCUGGCGGCGUGCCUCAUCCCUGCCAGUCGAGCGAACGGACGAGAAGCUUGCUUCUCUGAUGUUAGCGGCGGACGGGUGAGUAACACGUGGAUAACCUACCUAUAAGACUGGGAUAACUUCGGGAAACCGGAGCUAAUACCGGAUGAUAUUUUGAACCGCAUGGUUCAAAAGUGAAAGACGGUCUUGCUGUCACUUAUAGAUGGAUCCGCGCUGCAUUAGCUAGUUGGUAAGGUAACGGCUUACCAAGGCAACGAUGCAUAGCCGACCUGAGAGGGUGAUCGGCCACACUGGAACUGAGACACGGUCCAGACUCCUACGGGAGGCAGCAGUAGGGAAUCUUCCGCAAUGGGCGAAAGCCUGACGGAGCAACGCCGCGUGAGUGAUGAAGGUCUUCGGAUCGUAAAACUCUGUUAUUAGGGAAGAACAUAUGUGUAAGUAACUGUGCACAUCUUGACGGUACCUAAUCAGAAAGCCACGGCUAACUACGUG
This 496-nucleotide ribosomal RNA is filed under the name uncultured bacterium. Its description in RNAcentral is "partial 16S ribosomal RNA". It matches the Rfam family "Bacterial small subunit ribosomal RNA", at positions 29 to 507 of the family's 1533-position model. The record is from RNAcentral.